This 680-nucleotide unclassified non-coding RNA is filed under the name Cyathocotyle prussica. RNAcentral describes it as "partial external transcribed spacer". The record is from RNAcentral. Lineage: Eukaryota; Metazoa; Platyhelminthes; Trematoda; Diplostomida; Cyathocotylidae.
AGGGGGUAUACCCCUAACUCGGGUCGCCUGGGGUCGAUUUUGGCGAAUGGUGCGUUUGGGCCGGAAACCCUUCGGUAUGGCCUGUAGUGCCUAUAUUUCGCCUUUUCUCGGUCUCUGGGGCCCGAUAAAGCUAGCAAACAGUGCGGACGGCCAGUGGAAGCCUGAGGCGCACUAGUGCUAUAGGACCAUUGGAUCCUAUAUAAAAGCCCUAUAGGCUGUAUGCUUAUAGGCAAUCCUAUACUAACACGGACCAAGACGCAUGGGUGUCGGGUGGCAAUUGUCAUUCUGUACCCAGGUUGUGGGCUUGUAGUAACUGGAGGGCCAGCCUCAGCUAGCCAUUCGGGUGCUGCAUUGACCCAUACCAUUGAUAUUGAUAAGCCGGCUGGCUAGUCCUGUUGGCUCGGUGGAUCAUUCGUGGUCUGCCAGUGCAGUGCAUAAACGAUGAGCACGAAUACUACCAAUGGUUUCAUUGGCUUUCGGAUACACCGGCCUAGAGUCGGUAUGAGAAUCACAGAUUUACGGUACGCAAGUGGUCCACAUGGGUUGGUUAAAAACCCUGUGGUUGUGCCACAGGUCUCAAUGCUGUACGUUGCACGCCCUAGAAUGCGCGUACUGGCAAAGAACCUGGAAUCCACAUACUGAGUCCACUAAACCUUUCGGGGUUGUGGCAAAGAGUGAAC